RNAcentral lists this long non-coding RNA (249 nucleotides) under Mytilus galloprovincialis (Mediterranean mussel). Lineage: Eukaryota; Metazoa; Mollusca; Bivalvia; Mytilida; Mytilidae. The record is from RNAcentral.
GUUUUGUAUCUAGACGUUGCUAAAUCAGAUCUAAAAUGAAAAUUAUAAAGUCUAUUCAUGAUAAUUGAUUUAUCCCAUUUGCAUAAUAUCAUUACAGUCUAUGUAGAAAUAUCCAAGCUCUGUAUGAAGGCAUUGAUAAUUCAUUUCAUACAGCUAUUUUUCUGAUUCUGUAUUCCAACAUGGUUUUUAUUCACAAGAGUCAAGUGUUCCUUUUGUUUUUUGCUAAACUUUGUUUUGUCACUAUUUCUG